GGGUUCGAUUAUGGCUCAGAAUGAACGCUGGCGGCGUGCUUAACACAUGCAAGUCGGAUGUGCCGCAAGGUGCAUGGCAGACGGGUGAGUAACGCGUAGGGAACCUACCUCUUUGUGGGGAAUAACGUUCCGAAAGGAAUGGUAAUACCGCAUGAGAUCAGUGACUGGAAUGUUGCUGAUGAAAGCCGGGGAUCGAAAGACCUGGCGCAAGGAGAGGGUCCUGCGUCUGAUUAGCUAGUUGGUGGGGUAACGGCCUACCAAGGCGACGAUCAGUAGCCGGCCUGAGAGGGUGAUCGGCCACACUGGAACUGAGACACGGUCCAGACUCCUACGGGAGGCAGCAGUGGGGAAUUUUGCGCAAUGGACGAAAGUCUGACGCAGCAACGCCGCGUGGGUGAUGAAGGUCUUCGGAUUGUAAAACCCUGUCGUCAGGGACGAAGGUAGGGAACCUAAUAAGUUUUCUGCUUGACGGUACCUGGAGAGGAAGCCCCGGCUAACUCUGUGCCAGCAGCCGCGGUAAUACAGAGGGGGCAAGCGUUAUUCGGAAUUAUUGGGCGUAAAGGGCGCGUAGGCGGUUUUGUAAGUAGGAUGUGUAAUCCCCGAGCUCAA
RNAcentral lists this ribosomal RNA (609 nucleotides) under uncultured bacterium. RNAcentral's name for it is "bacterial SSU rRNA". It matches the Rfam family "Bacterial small subunit ribosomal RNA", at positions 9 to 612 of the family's 1533-position model. The record is from RNAcentral.